UAUCUCGGAUUGAUGGGGGAAUAUUGGGCUAGCGAAUGCUGAAAACCGUUUUAUAAUAUCUGGAAAACUUUUGGAGUUAUGAGGCAAAGUGUCUGGCCAUGUCAGUUAAGAGACAUUCGAGUCCACGGAGGUGUGUCUCGAUGACUUAGGAUAAGUCCUGGAAUUCUUAACUUAGGAAGAUGUUUUGUAUCUCGAAUUGAUGGUGGAACAUUGGGCUAGCGUAUGCUGAAAACCGUUUUAAAAUAUCUGGAAAACUUUUGGAGUUAUGAGGCAAAGUGUCUGGCCAUGUCAGUCAAGAGACAUUCGAGUUCACGGAGGUGUGUCUGGAUGACUUAGGAUAAGUCCAGGAAUUUUUAAUUUAGGAAGAUGCUUUGUAUCUCGAAUUGAUGGUAGAGGAUUGGGCUAGCGAAUACUGAAAACCGUUUUAAAAUAUCUGGAAAACUUUUGGAGUUAUGAGGCAAAAUGUCUGACCAUAUCAGUCAAGAGACAUUCGAGUCCACGGAGGUGUGUCUGGAUGACUUAGGAUAAGUCCAGGAAUUAUUAACCUAGGAAGAUGUUUUGUAUCUCAAAUUGAUGGUGGAGGAUUGGACUAGCGAAUGCUGAAAACCGUUUUAAAAUAUCUGUAAAACCUUUGGAGUUAUGAGGCAAAGUGUCUGGCCAUGUCAGUCAAGAGACAUUCGAGUCCACGGAGGU
This 693-nucleotide long non-coding RNA is filed under the name Anthonomus grandis grandis. RNAcentral's name for it is "uncharacterized LOC126747821". Lineage: Eukaryota; Metazoa; Arthropoda; Insecta; Coleoptera; Curculionidae. The record is from RNAcentral.